AGGGGCGAAGGUGAAUGGCGAGAGAAUUAUAUAGGAGAUGCUGUGCAAUAUUUUGGCUUCAACAUACAGGUUCUCGUGCAGACAAAAAAGGAAAUGCAUACAGUUGUGGAUUGUGACGAUUGUCGUAUAAUUGUGCACUGUCGAUCCCAAACAAUUUUGUAUGUUAACACUCCUUCCUACCAGGUAUUUAAUAUAAACGAUGAUAACCUAUUUUUUAAAAAAAUAUCUAGAGCACUAUGUUUAUAAACGGUUUUAGAAUCAAAUUAAUGGACAUUCAACGUCUAUUUAGCUAGUGUCCAAAGUUGUAAGACCACCAAGGUCUACGACCUGCACAGUCGCUUUUGAGACCUCUAUAGUAUUUAAUAAGUAAAUAAAUGCACCGUUUCCAAAUGACAACAAUUCAAUGGCAUACAUGUAUUAUAAGAAUAUUAUAAAUAUCAGAGGCAGAACAGAAACGUAUGCGUGAAAUGAAACUGCGCCCGAACUCCGAGAAUAAAAGGGCAAAUAUUUCAAAGCAUACGAUCAUGCGUUUUCAUUGCUUGAUUUCCUGACUUGUCUGUUGCUAUAUGAAUCUGCAGUUUAGGAUGUUUGUAUAAUUUAAAAGCAAACAGAAACCAAAUUUAGCAAGCAUUUUGAAGUAAUUAUGAUUCUCAAAGGUGAUACUACAGAACAGUCACUCCUUGCAAUCGAAGCGUGAAGUGCGGAAGUGGUAUCAUGUAAUAUGAGAUUUUUCCCUCACCCUUAUAGGCACGUUUCUUUUGUAAAUCUAGAUUUGGAUUCUUACGAAUCAGAUUUUUUGGAGUCGUUAAACCAAUGGAACGAAUUGUGAGAAUCGGAAUUCGCCUGCUGUUUUCCCGCCAUUUUUACAAUAAGUUUUCUGUCCCACUAUACCUUUCGGUCGGGUCAAUGUACAUGCUAGAAGGCCAAAAGCUCAAAAGGAACGUUGAAUCUUAAUUAAUCAAGUUUCAAAUUGAAUCCGAAAAAUACAUAUGUUGAGGUGGACUCAUCAGCUUCGAAUCUAUUCAAGAUUUUGUCAAGUGAAACAGAAAAUCGAUAAUCGGAUUUGAAAAUUCAAAUCCGGAUUGCACUAAAGAAACGCUCCCUACGAUUAUCCAUUUUCUAUGGAUCACGUGACCAGCUCCAACCAGGGUUUUUUCUUCAUAAGAGGGAAGAGCCUGGGAACGAGGUUGACUGCAUUUAACUGCAUUUAACGAUAUCUAUGUUCGCACAAUAUCGGACGAAUACGCAAAUUCGUCUAGUUUCAUUUGUUACACAGGAAUUCCUAGGGUUAGCUGUGUUUGAAUUUGUCCAGUUUCAUGUGUCCCAUGUGAACGCAUAAGGUGAUAGUCGUGAAAUUGUGAGUAUGGUUCAGAAUUCGUUCAGUCCCGUGUGAAGAAGGGUCGAUUGGGUCAUAAUCAUACCGAUCAUGUCCAAAAGUAAAUAUUAUAGAAUUUAUUAAAUAUUUUGUUAAAAUUUAAUCAUUAAUUUUGUUCAAUUUUAAGGUGGUGCUUGGAAACGUUCCAACGCGUCAUUUUUAUUCUCCCUACGCAACAAAGACAACCUUGCUCCAUUUAUUGCCAACAUCAAGCAAGGUCAGGAGCACAGUGCAAUCUACUGUUCGCUUUGUUAUGGACCAACCUUUGGUGGAGGUUAUGAUCUGUACAUUUGUAACAAUCCUCAAGUUAAUCAAUCAUACAGCAAUUUUGGAAGCACAUAUCAACUUCCUCCUGGUUAUGUCUAUAGCAGUGAACAAGCAAAGAACCUUCUUGCUGGUCAGUACCAAUUCUUAACGACAGAAAUCGAAAUCUUCAACUGACAGUUGCCUUGGUUUACGUACUUCAACGAAAAAUAACAUUACAUUGAUUACGACCGCUCUUAGCAAUCAAUUUUGGACAGUGAUUUUGCGAUGUUAUAAAGUAUUAAGAGUUAAUAUGAAUAUUCUGAGUCAUGUACUGCAGGAAUUUUAAAAAUUAAAAUUGGUCGUUUGCCUCAACAGUAGCGGUUACUGGAGUCAACAAAUGAAAGGCCUCGAAGAAAACUUGUGAAAAACCGAUUGUUAUACAGCCGACGGUAAUCAAUGAUCUAAUCAGCAUAUAGCCUAGGUAAAUGUUCUAAAAUUGGAAGAACAUUUAAUUUUCGAUCGACCACUUUAUAUCGGAUUGCAUCUGACCAUUUUUCAUCACAAUGACAUAAGAACGGUGUCAUUUGGCAGCUAAAAGCCUAUCUUUGUUAGUGUGUGAAAGGUAAAUAUAUAAACUUAGUAUAUAUAACACACGAUAGCAUGCUGAAAUUGUUUUACCUUUUUUGAUACACCCUGCACUAUACAUGUUGAAGGGUUUUCGAGAUUUCUUUCUACAAAAAAACCAUUCAACAUUUAAUAUCGACUGAGAUGCCUGAAAUCCUGAUAUUUACCCAUAUACCUUACACUGGCAUCACGUAGUAUGUACUAUAUAUACAUGAACUUGUGGUUAAAACUCGGCAA
Molecule: long non-coding RNA, 2482 nt
Filed under: Paramuricea clavata
Lineage: Eukaryota; Metazoa; Cnidaria; Anthozoa; Malacalcyonacea; Plexauridae
Source: RNAcentral